CAACUAUUAUUUCCAAUUUGUGUAUCAACUGAAUUGGUUUUGACCGCCAUUUCAGUCUUUCCAAUAGAAGGUUCCUUGACUAAUUUCACAACCUUAAUUAGCUUGGUCAAAUGCAGCCGACUUCAUUAUUUUACAUGUGAAUUUGCAGCCCUUCUGCCAUUAUAUUAUUGUUAUUUUGUCAAAUUAGUUAUCCUUCCUCUUCCGUUAUAUGUAAGCUACCUCCAAAUGCUCUCUCCUUUUUCUCUCGUCACUCUCCCUCUUUCUCUGCAAAUGAAACCCCAUUUCUUCCUUACCUUGUCUUUGAUUUUCAUCAUUACUAUAGUCUUCCUCUGCCCUCCUCCGUCUGUGCUUGCUAGUGAUGCGCAAUAUCAAAACUGCAGCACAACAUUUCGGUGCGGAAAUAUUACAAACAUUGGCUAUCCUUUCUGGGGUUCGAACCGACCCGAUUAUUGUGGCAACCCCAACUUCUUGCUUAAUUGCACUGAGCAAGCUGCCGAGAUCACCAUCAAGAAUUUAACUUACCAAGUUCUUGAAAUCGAUAGCCAGGCAAAGUAUCUUAAGGUUGCUAGAAAAGAUUAUAUAGGAGACAUCUGUCCUAACCUCCUCAUCAACACCACUUUGGACUUCGUCCAUUUCAGCUAUGCUUCGGAUGAUAUUCGGAAUAUAACUUUAUACUAUGGUUGCUCCACGUCUUUUACCCCAACUACCAUUCCAUGGAUUUCCACUCAGUUUACUUGUGACUUAAAUGGCAGCAGUAGCAAAGGUUUUUACUCGACAAGGAACAUUGACUUGAGUAAUUCUACAAUAAUCAAUUUAUUGGGGUCGUGCAACAAUAGUGUUAUCGUUCCAGCAACUCAAUCAGCUGUUGAGACUUUAGAGAAUAAUAUAACCGAGGAGAAUUUGGUUAUAGCUCUGGAGAAAGGUUUCGGAUUACAGUGGGAAGCAAACAAUCCCGUUUGCGAGACGUGUACACUUUCCGGUGGGACAUGUGGUUACAACACAACUACUAAUUCAUUUGCUUGUUAUUGCACUGAUCAGCCUGCUGAUCAGUUUAGUUGUAGAGAAUCUACAACAAAUAAUCCAUCUGAAUCAUCAGGGGGAAAAUCUAGCAAAGUUGGACUUGGAGUAGGACUUGGCAUAGCAGGUGCAGCAGCUGUUGGCAUUGGUUUGGGGUGUUGGUUCUUGCUCAUCAUACAACGCAGGAAAAGAAUUGCUACCCAAACACAGAGUGGAGACCUGCCUACAGCUCCAGCAAGCAAAGGCCACCCUGCUUCCACAAUUAAUUUCUCUCAAACCACCCCUUCUUAUCCCUCCUCAAAGUCUGACCUUGAAAAGGGAAGUACCUACUUUGGAACUCAGGUAUUCAGCUAUGAGGAACUUGUGGAAGCCACGGACAAUUUCGAUCCUUCCAAGGAACUAGGAGAUGGGGGCUUUGGCACUGUUUACUACGGUAUUCUCAAGGAUGGGCGUGUGGUCGCUGUCAAGCGCCUCUUUGAGAACAACAUGAAGCGUGCUGAGCAGUUCAUGAAUGAAAUUGAGAUCCUAACUCGUUUACGACACAAGAGCCUUGUGGCACUCUAUGGAUGUACUUCAAAACGCAGCCAAGAGCUGAUCCUUGUUUAUGAGUAUGUACCUAAUGGAACUGUUGCUGAUCAUCUUCAUGGAAAACAGUCCAAGUCUGGUUUGCUCAGUUGGCCUGUUCGGUUGAGCAUUGCCAUAGAGACAGCCGAUGCUCUUGCUUAUCUCCAUGCUUCAGAUGUCAUACACCGUGAUGUCAAAACCAACAAUAUUCUGCUAGACAACAACUUCCGUGUGAAAGUGGCUGAUUUCGGAUUGUCACGGCUGUUCCCUAAUGAUGUAAGCCAUAUCUCAACUGCUCCACAAGGCACACCUGGCUAUGUCGAUCCAGAGUAUUAUCAGUGCUAUCAACUCACAGACAAAAGUGACGUUUACAGCUUUGGUGUGGUGCUGAUCGAGCUGAUAUCAUCAUUACCGGCAGUGGACACCAAUAGACAGAAGUUUGACAUUAAUUUGGCCAACAUGGCAGUCAACAAAAUCCAAAAUCAUGCAAUAAAUGAGUUAGUAGAUCCGUGUCUUGGGUUCAAAAAGGAUUAUGCAGUGAGGAAGAUGGCAACUUCAGUUGCAGAAUUGGCUUUCCGAUGCUUGCAACAGGAGAGAGAUAUGAGGCCAACUAUGAGAGAAGUCUUAGAGGCACUCAAAAAAAUUGAGAAAGAAACUUACGAAUCAGAGAAAUCAGAGGUUCUUGAUAUUAAGGAGGAUGAUGUUGGGCUUUUGAAUCAUGUCCCUCCAUUUUCUCCAGACUCAAUUGAGAUGACUGACAAAUGGGGGAAGAUGAUGAGAACACUGUGACCUGAGUUCUGGCGGGCUAGGACGCUGUAUUUUUAAGUAAUUCUGGUAAAUGGGAUUCAAGUUUUGUGAUAUCCAGAGCAUUGCUCAUAUAACUUUCAGCCUAGUCUUCAACCACAUUUGCUCUUUUCCUCAAUAAAUAGCUCUACAAGGCACCAAUAUUCCUGAGUCAUGGGAACCCGUCCUUCUUGCUUGUCUGGGAUGCAGCAUUUGGGAGGUGUAUGAUAUUUUUUUUUUCUUCUUUUUUGAGCCCACAAGUUUUUGAAUCUGUAUAUAAAUGUGAUUAACUAAUUUUAUCGAAUUUGUAGCUUGAUGUCAGGAAGAUUCUGUUACAUUCUCAUACCUGUCCGUCGAUUGAUAUGAUUCUGUACUUUACAAUAUUUUCCCUAUUUGUUUUCCGCUCAUCCAAAUAAAAGUAAGUAGAAAAUAAAAUUAUGUUUUCCUCCCAUUUAUUUUCCUUAGCCAAACAUGGUGUAAGCUGUUGAAAGAAGUUUCUGCAUGGCCGCUGCCGCCUCUUGAGACUAGGGCAAUGCAAAAUAGACAUUGACUAAGAAGGCUAACAGCACACAUCUCUAAUAUGGAAUUGUUCUAACGAGGUUGGACCAUUGAUGGCAAGGGCUUUAAAAGUGGGAACAUAUAUGAAAUUGAAUGUAAUGUAAAUAAUUUUUUUACUACACUUGCAGCAUUUUGAAUGCCUACAAGCAAAUAUUAUUAAUAAGAAGGAUUGCAAAUUUUUAUUAUUAAUUAAAGCGGUACUAAAGCUUAAACAAAUUUUGUUUAUAAUUAUCCUUAAAGCAAACACAAAUUUGAUUUUCAAUACUUUGAUGGGCUUAUUCGGCAAAAGUUACAAAUUCCCCACACUGUGCCACGUGUGAACCACCCAAUAAGAACUCCCAAGACCCAUCCGAAAAGACACAAAACAUCACAGAGACCCAUCCUUCAAUAUUCCAAACCCGCUUUUAUUCCCCAGUCGCUGCCUUUUAUUUUCCAAUCAAAAUUUACAAUUUCCAAAUCAGAAUCAGAUGGGCAUUUCGUUAAUCUCUCUCAGAUCUCACUUCCUCUGCUAAUCACACUCUGAAUUCACAGAUUCAAUGACAACUCUUCACAAAUUCAAGCUUCUCGCCACUCAAUGUGCAGUAACCGGAAGCCCUACGCAAAGUCCCACAACUAGCCCCGUCAUCCACCUCCGCCGCCGCAAGACACUCCGCAUGCUUCUCUCCCGCUCUGCUGAACACCAACGCCGCCGGAUUCCCCGAGGUGAUGACCAGUCUGAACUCCAGAAGGGUCCUCCAGAGAAGAAGAGAGUUAGGAGGAAAUUGAAGGACUUGUUCGUGUCAUCUCCGCCGUUUGAAGAUAAAGAGAAGGAUAAUCCGGAUGAUGCAGUAGAGUUAUUACCGGUUUCCGGUGGUGGCAGCGGUGGCGGUGGAGAUGGAGGUUUGGCUGCUCGGCGCGCUGGAGGUAGUUCGCUAAGACCGCUAUCUGGUACGUUUAGAUAUAGGCUACUCAGAAGAGCUUGGCGACCGAUGCUUGUAACCAUCCCCGACUUCCAUGUGUCGAUGCUCAGGAUGUUCCAUGAUUGUGUUGAGGAUUUUAUGGGGUUGGCAAAGGAUGCUGUGUAUCUCUUGUGUAUAUCUUCUAAAUUAUUGUAAUACCCUGAAAUCUUAAUGAGGGUAUACAUACAUUUUGUGUCAUUAUUAAUGCACUCCCACAUUUCCCAAUUUUGGGGGUUUAAAUGAUGUUCAUCAUUUCACACAAAGUUAAUUUGUAAUCAUAGUCUUUGAAUUUGGGGUUGUAGAGAA
Molecule: RNA transcript, 4166 nt
Organism: Manihot esculenta (cassava)
Lineage: Eukaryota; Viridiplantae; Streptophyta; Magnoliopsida; Malpighiales; Euphorbiaceae
Gene name: LEAF RUST 10 DISEASE-RESISTANCE LOCUS RECEPTOR-LIKE PROTEIN KINASE-like 1.3
Exons: 6
Source: RefSeq, a predicted model, not a curated record